This 255-nucleotide ribosomal RNA is filed under the name uncultured bacterium. RNAcentral describes it as "partial 16S ribosomal RNA". It matches the Rfam family "Bacterial small subunit ribosomal RNA", at positions 524 to 776 of the family's 1533-position model. The record is from RNAcentral.
UACGUAGGGUGCAAGCGUUGUCCGGAAUUAUUGGGCGUAAAGAGCUCGUAGCGGUUCUGUCGCGUCGGCUGUGAAAAACCCGGGGCUCAACCCCGGGCCUGCAGUCGAUACGGGCAGACUAGAGUGUGGUAGGGGAGACUGGAAUUCCUGGUGUAGCGGUGAAAUGCGCAGAUAUCAGGAGGAACACCGGUGGCGAAGGCGGGUCUCUGGGCCAAUAACUGACGCUGAGGAGCGAAAGCGUGGGGAGCGAACAGG